UGAGGAAUAUUGCACAAUGAGCGAAAGCUAGAUGCAGCAACGCCGCGUGGAUGAUGAAGGCCUUCGGGUCGUAAAAUCCUUUUCAGAGGGACGAGUGAGGACGGUACCUCUGGAAUAAGUCACGGCUAACUACGUGCCAGCAGCCGCGGUAAAACGUAGGUGGCAAGCGUUAUCCGGAUUCACUGGGCGUAAAGCGCCUGCAGGCGGUCUCGUAAGUGGGGUGUGAAAUCUCCUGGCUUAACUGGGAGGGGUCAUUCCAUACUGCGGGACUGGAGGGCAGAAGAGGGGAGUGGAAUUCCCGGUGUAGUGGUGAAAUGCGUAGAUAUCGGGAGGAACACCAGUGGCGAAGGCGACUCCCUGGUCUGCUCCUGACGCUAAGAGGCGAAAGCUAGGGGAGCGAACGGGAUUAGAAACCCCGGUAGUCCUAGCCAUAAACGUUGGAUACUAGGUGUUGGUGGUCCUAACCCCAUCAGUGCCGAAGCAAACGCGUUAAGUAUCCCGCCUGGGGACUACGGCCGCAAGGUUA
RNAcentral lists this ribosomal RNA (526 nucleotides) under uncultured bacterium. RNAcentral's name for it is "bacterial SSU rRNA". It matches the Rfam family "Bacterial small subunit ribosomal RNA", at positions 355 to 896 of the family's 1533-position model. The record is from RNAcentral.